CCCUUAGAUGUUCUGGGCUGCACGCGCGCUACACUGAUGCAUCCAGCGAGUUGUAACCUUGCUUGGUAAAGUUUGGUAAUCUGAGCCUAAUGUGCAUCGUGAUGGGAAUAGAGUUUUGCAACUAUUAGUCUUGAACGAGGAAUUCCUCGUAAGCACGAGUCAUCAGCUUGUGCUGAUUACGUCCCUGCCCUUUGUACACACCGCCCGUCGCACCUACCGAUUGAAUGGUCCGGUGAAAUCUCGGGACGGCGGCUUGGUCGCUUGCGUCCGACUGCUGAAACUUGAUUAAACCAUAUCAUUUAGAGGAAGGUGAAGUCGUAACA
Molecule: ribosomal RNA, 323 nt
Filed under: uncultured eukaryote
Lineage: Eukaryota
Description: partial 18S ribosomal RNA
Rfam family: Eukaryotic small subunit ribosomal RNA
Source: RNAcentral